This 2634-nucleotide long non-coding RNA is filed under the name Podarcis lilfordi (Lilford's wall lizard). The record is from RNAcentral. Lineage: Eukaryota; Metazoa; Chordata; Lepidosauria; Squamata; Lacertidae.
CUGCCAUCUGUUGGAGGAUUAUGGUUUGAGUCCCCUCUCCGCGUUUGGCAGGAAUGAAUGAGUUCUGGCUUAGGCUGCAGAGUUCCUAGUAAUGAAGUCUUAACUCAUUUGGCUUCCCCUUUGCCUCCCUCUUUUCUCCCCCUCCCCCAGAAUCACAGCUCUUGUGCCUUCAGGAAAAAUUGAUCAGGUCAAACUUCCCAAUAGCCCAGUCCAAUGCAUGCUUACUCAGCGAAGUCCUAUGUUCAAGGAGGCUAACUCUCAGGUAAUGUGUAUAGGAUUGUAGUCUUACUCUUGUUGUGGGAGGGUUCACAUUAUGCUAAAUUUCUGCUUGUUAUGUACCUAUUUCUGUUCAUUUCUAGCUGCUCAGUGCUGCUGCUGUAUUGCUUUAAAUUUAAUAUUAAUAGAAUUUAUAUAGCCACCAAUUUUAUAUUUCUGUAGCCUUGUGGGCAGGAUGGCAUAUCUCAACAUUUGCAGGCAGUUGUAAAAGGAUAUUAUGAGGCAUUUGUUGUUGCAUAUAAAAACUUGGCAAAUAAUAGUACAGGGGAAGAGAUGGGUUAGGAUUCAGAUGUACAGUAUUGACCCCAACCAAUGUGUGGGAGGGAAGAAAUUGGAUACUUGUCAAUGGAUCAAUAGGAUCUGCUUCGGGGGGGGGGGGCAUCAAAUAUAUCUUCUACAAAAUCAAUGACUAAAUACAUUUUUUCUGCCUGCUGUCGCCCUACUGGAUUCAACGAGGCUUUUGUAGGAUUGCAGUAUUAUAAGGUCUUCCUUCAUCCUUAUGGAAAGGCAUGUGGGAGUUAUAUGUUAAUCUAAGAUCCUGCAAAUUAAUAGUCUUUGAGGUUCCAUAAGUGACUUUUAUUCUUUUUUUUGCAACAUAUAGACUCUAUUUCAAGUUGAAGGAGAGGGUAAACUUUAUUCUGGUGGUUUGCUUUUGAUAUGUGUGUUUUCAUCUAUCUCACAGUGCAAUCCUACAUACAGGUCUAUUCAGAAGUAGGUGCUUAAAGGUAGGUGCUUAUAAUAUAACAGAUUAAGUUACCUCUCAUUCGUACUGUUGACAAAAAAAUUUAAAAGCUUUUAUACAACUUCAGUGCUUCGGUGACUACUGCUUCAAGGGAAGAGGAUGGUGAGGAAGCAGGACUUCUUUGGCCCCAAAGCAGCCACCAGCAGGUCCCUAAGUCACCAGCUGUCAUUUGAUCAAUAACCUCUCCCCCACCUCUUUUUGGAACACCCUUUUUGGCCACCACCACAGAGCAUGUUUCUGUCCUCAAAAUAGCUUCACUGCCACACUGAAGCAUCUCUGGUGGUGGACCUGCGUGGAGAGGGAGAUGCAGAGAAUCCAACAGCUCCUGAAAACCCUUUCCAGGAGCUAAAGAUUGCUCUCUCAUAAGCUCUAGAUUUUGUUCCAAUAUUUUAACUCUUGUCCUGUUCUCUUACACAAUUAAAGGUACCCCUGCCCGUACGGGCCAGUCGUGUCCGACUCUAGGGUUGUGCGCCCAUCUCACUUAAGAGGCCGGGGGCCAGCGCUGUCCGGAGACACUUCCGGGUCACGUGGCCAGCGUGACGAAGCUGCUCUGGCGAGCCGGCACCAGCGCCGCACACGGAAACACCGUUUACCUUCCCGCUAGAAAACGGUCCCUAUUUAUCUACUUGCACUUAAGAGUGCUUUCGAACUGCUAGGUGGGCAGGAGCUGGGACCGAACGACGGGAGCUCACCCCGCCACGGGGAUUCGAACCGCCGACCAUGCGAUCGGCAAGCCCUAGGCGUUGAGGUUUUACCCACAGCACCACCCGCGUCCCCUUAUACAAUUACCAUAGCAAAAAAGGCUGGUCUGUGUACAUAAAAAUGUCUUUAUUUACAUCCAUGAAUAAGCAUGCUACUCUGCUACAUUGAAAGGAAUUAAUGCUUAGCAAAUAAAUGUCACAGUUGCCAAAAUUCUGGACUUCCUUCUCUGGAUCUGCAGUAAUGAGAUACUGAAGAACUCUUUGGGGAAAAAAUAAGAAUCGAUCUUUUUAAACUACAGAUAAGCAAAAUCAAUUAUUAAAUAGUAAUACCAUAGCAGGCAAUUGAUCAAAUAUUGUUAAAUACUAAAUAUAUUUACAUAUCACUUAUAAUGAAUUGAUCGCAUAUCAACACAGUUCUUGUGGGGUAUAAUGACCGCAUCAUAGUUUCCAAGUCCAUUCUGUGCCAGUGUGUGUGUCUGCUGAAAACGUGUGGCAAGAUGCUUAACAGGUUCUGUGUGCUGCUGAGUAUGAGGCAUUAUGGUUCAUAUUUUAUCUUUUGUUCCAAAUGACGUUAGUGCUUUCUGUAGAUGCUGAACAUUUUAAGCUGGGUCUAAGGUUUUGAACUCCAAAUUGAUGAAGUUGCUAAGUGGUUUAGCUAAAGCCUCUCGAGCUCUAAGUGCCAUCUCUGUAAGAUGUUCAUUUGUCUAGCUGUCCCCAGUAAAAGCAACGAUCAAUAGGGUCUUGUGGCUUGGAAAGCCUAUCUCUGGCUUCUCCCAACAAAGAACAGAGCACAGCCCCAGUGUGCACGUGAAGGUAGCCUCAGAAUGUCUUCCUCAUUUACUCCGACAUUUUCUCAGGAUGCAGGUGUUCAUGACAGCAGAGAAGGGAAAACUGGGACAUGGAGUUGAAUAUUUC